ACGAACGCUGGCGGCGUGCUUCACACAUGCAAGUCGAACGAAGAGCGAUGGAAGCUUGCUUCUAUCAAUCUUAGUGGCGAACGGGUGAGUAACGCGUAAUCAACCUGCCCUUCAGAGGGGGACAACAGUUGGAAACGACUGCUAAUACCGCAUACGAUCUAAUCUCGGCAUCGAGGAUAGAUGAAAGGUGGCCUCUACAUGUAAGCUAUCACUGAAGGAGGGGAUUGCGUCUGAUUAGCUAGUUGGAGGGGUAACGGCCCACCAAGGCGAUGAUCAGUAGCCGGUCUGAGAGGAUGAACGGCCACAUUGGGACUGAGACACGGCCCAGACUCCUACGGGAGGCAGCAGUGGGGAAUCUUCCGCAAUGGACGAAAGUCUGACGGAGCAACGCCGCGUGAGCGAUGACGGCCUUCGGGUUGUAAAGCUCUGUUAAUCGGGACGAAAGGCCUUCUUGCGAAUAGUGAGAAGGAUUGACGGUACCGGAAUAGAAAGCCACGGCUAACUACGUG
Molecule: ribosomal RNA, 509 nt
Filed under: uncultured bacterium
Lineage: Bacteria
Description: partial 16S ribosomal RNA
Rfam family: Bacterial small subunit ribosomal RNA
Source: RNAcentral